Molecule: ribosomal RNA, 467 nt
Filed under: uncultured bacterium
Lineage: Bacteria
Description: partial 16S ribosomal RNA
Rfam family: Bacterial small subunit ribosomal RNA
Source: RNAcentral
GACGAACGCUGGCGGCGUGCUUAACACAUGCAAGUCGAACGGAAAGGCCCUGCUUUUGUGGGGUGCUCGAGUGGCGAACGGGUGAGUAACACGUGAGUAACCUGCCCUUGACUUUGGGAUAACUUCAGGAAACUGGGGCUAAUACCGGAUAGGAGCUCCUGCUGCAUGGUGGGGGUUGGAAAGUUUCGGCGGUUGGGGAUGGACUCGCGGCUUAUCAGCUUGUUGGUGGGGUAGUGGCUUACCAAGGCUUUGACGGGUAGCCGGCCUGAGAGGGUGACCGGCCACAUUGGGACUGGGAUAGGGCCAAGACGCCUCAGGGAGGAAGCGGUGGGGAAUAUUGCCAAAUGGGCGGAAGCCUGAUGAAGAAACGCCGGGUGGGGGAGGACGGCUUUCGGGUUGUAAACGGUUUUCGCUUGUGACGAAGCGUGGGUGCGGGUAAUGGGUAAAGAAGAACGGGCUAAUUAGGU